Molecule: long non-coding RNA, 3998 nt
Organism: Cyprinus carpio carpio
Lineage: Eukaryota; Metazoa; Chordata; Actinopteri; Cypriniformes; Cyprinidae
Source: Ensembl
AUGUGUGUGUCUGGUCUGACUCUGACUGCUCUUGGCUCUGUUACACUGCCUGCUGCAUCUAUCAGAGAGGCUGAAGCCUGUUUCUGGGCCAAGUCCAGCAAAGCUCUCAGCAGAGGGUGUCACUGUGAAUUAUGUCCAACCCAUGGCUCACCACGGUUCUUCAGCAGUUUCAUGUCCUUUCUGGCUUUCGGCCUCAUUUUUGUCGUUUCAGCUUGUGAUGCGAAGGUGGGCUUGUUCAUCUUCCUCAUGCUGAGAACCUCCAGAUCUGAGCGCUUCAAGUGAGCUAUUAUGACUAUCCAGUAUAAUACACUUUUCACAAAAAUAUUAAACAGCACGGUUAUCUUCAACAUUGAUAAAAAUCUUCAUUGUUUCUUAAAUGAUUUGUGAAGAAUCAUGUGACACUGAAACUGCCGUCAUGUGAAAUCCUGUGAAACUGCAUUUGUUCAUCUAUAUGCCCAUGCGUUCUACUGUUUCACCACUUCUUCCUGUUUUCAGGCAUCUGAUGGUGCAUCUGGCGGAGAGCAAGAGUCUCUUCAGGCUCCACUGGCUGCUGCCCAUCUACUUCCUGUUUGCCGCGGCUUACAACAUCUUCCAGAGCAUCCUAGCGAUCACUGAGAACAUGUUGCUCAUCCUCCCCAACAAUUCUUCUCUUGGAUGAGAGAGCUGAGAGAGUUGAGAGAGACUGGAUAUCAGGUGGGACAACCUAUGCUGCUGAGAUCCCUCAGGAACGGACAGUUAUUACCUCACACUGUGCCAGUGACCCAAAGCAAACACACACAGCACAGAUAAUGUGUCCACUACUCCAGAGGAUACACACACUGAUCACUGAACAAGCCUGGGGCGAUCCUUCAACCCAAACUUCAUUUACAAUACUGCCCCAGUAUAAAGCAUGUGACACAAAAGAUUUAUAGAUGUUCUUUGGGAAAAAGGCCCCUCGUUUAUGCGUAUUUUUUUAUAUCCCCCCACUUCAUUUUCAUCCUGUAAAUUGCAUGUGCUCUCAGUGAGCUAGGAAAACAUAUUUUGAUUUCCUCAGCAAUGCCCAGUGAUUAAAUCUGCAAUCGUGUCAUCAAACCAAAGCAACGUUUCCAGAAAAGCUGCAACAAAAAGAUCUUUAAGGUAAUGAUGGGCUAUUAUUGCUGUCCAGUAUAUAAUUUGUGAUUUAAUGAGCAGGCUGGAGUGCUUUGACACGGAAUAAACCACAAGACAACAGAAUAAAAUAUAGUGAUUGGAUUCAAGAGGUGUGAGAUGUUUAUGUGUGUAUAGACGGUUUCAACGACAACAACAUAAACAAACGUUACUGCGCAUGCGCGCUUUUGUGGCCCUAACUUAAACUUCUGUUAGACUUCCAAAUAGAAUCAAUAACAACAGCUAAGUAGUCUCUCUAGAGUAGAUUAUUUUUGAUAACAAGCAAAAGAUGUUUGCUGCGUAAAUCAGAUUUACUGAAAAUGCAAAUUCUUUCUCUGCCAGCAGGAGGUAGGCCUACUUUAAAGCGGGAGAAACAGAGUAACUGCUGUAACUUACACAAAGCAGCGCUGAACUCACAAACGCUGCUUUAUCAGGCAUAUAACAAGCAAGAUUAAAUGAAAAUGACAUCGAAAAUUUAAUAGACUAAUUAAAGAUAGUCUUCCUUCAGAAAUGCAGUGAUAUAAAAACACCCAAGCCUCAUUUUGAUUUUUAAACGUGCAGUACAUGCUCAUUUGUUUAUACAACGAAGCCUUUUGGAAAAUCGGUCAGUUUUGAUAUUGUGAGCGCCACAAAUAAAUAAAUGUAUGGGAACCACAUCCCACAGCACUACCACCUGAGCCCAACUUCAGUUGGAAGACGGCGAUAUACUGUAUGUAUACACACACACACACACUAUGAGGUGACAAACAGGAAACAAUUAUAUAAAAAUCUGAACAUAUAGAUGUAAAUCUGAAUAUAUAAAUGUAAAUUGUUAAUAUAGUUAUAAUUCUGAAUAUAUAGUUAUAAGUCUAAAUGUAUUAUGUCCGAAUAUAUAGUUAUAAUUCUGAAUAUAUAGAAGUGAAUCUGAAUUUAUAGUUAUAAUUCUGAAUAUAUAGAAGUGAAUCUGAAUAUAUGGUUAUAUGUCUGAAUAUAUAAAUGCAAAUCAUUGAUAUACUGUAAAUGCAUAUCUUGAAAUCUGAAAGCAUGUAUAAAUCCUGAAUAUAUAAAUGCAAUUAUGUAUAUAUAUUGUCUACAGUAUGUCUCAAUAUAAAUGUAUCUUUAUUAUAAGUCAUCUCAAAAGACUUUUUAGUAUGCCUGUACAUCCUGUAUAUAGUUAAAUCAAUGUAAAUAUUUUACUAUAUUAACUAUUGUACAUGCAUCUCCUCACAGCAGUGACAAUGCUAAUACCCAUCUUUUCUACACAGUUCAGCAUGGCUGAGACAGCUAGGGAAAUUGCCAACAACAUCAUGUGUUUACAAAUAGUGAUUGGAGUGAAUAGAGACAAUUGCAGCAGAAUAUGAUAUGAGAAAUCUUAUAACUAUAUUCAGAUUUACCUUUUUUUAGAAUUUGCAUGUAUAUAUUCAGAUUUACUUCUAUAUAUUCAGAUUUACAUUUAUAUAUUCAGAAUUAUAAGUAUAUAUACAGAUUUAUAUAUGCAGAAUUAAGUAUAUAUUGCAGUUAUAUAUUCAGACUUAUAACUAUAUAAUGAUUUAUACAUAUAUAUUCAGAUUUACUUCUAUAUAUUCAGUCACAAAAUAUUCAGACUUAUAUUCAUAUUUACAUCUCUAUAUUCAGAUUUUUAUAUAAUUAUGUCCUGUUUGGCACCUCGUUUUAUAUAUAUAUAUAUAUAUAUAUAUAUAUAUAUAUAUUUUUUUUUUUUUUUUUUUUUAUUAAUGCUGCCUGAUGAACAUGGGACUUCUUUCAAAAACAUUUUUAAAAAUCUUACCAAACCCAAGCUCAUGUAGAAGAAAUGUUUGUUUUGGGGGUUGGAUGGAGAUGAACUAACCUUUAGUCUGUUGCUGUUUAGUAACUUUGAAGGUUAAUUUGCACCAUCACUUCAUAUUGAAUUACGAGAAUAAAAACACAGCUGUAAUAUCAAAAUAUACUUUAUUUUGGACUCCAGAUCUGAUUCAAAUGACAACAGACCAAUGCAAUGCAGGGGGAAUUUUUGCAACCAAAAACAUUUGACUGGGGAAACAAAGAUCAGGUGUGGGGACAUCUGAGAACACGUAGGACUCAGAGUGAGCAAAACUGAGGUCUAAGCUGUACACCCUCAAACCGACCUCCAGUAGUUUGUUGGGGUUUUCUUUUUUUUUCUCUCUUUUUUUUGCUUAUUUCUUUAGUCUUUUUAUAGCUACAAAGAAAUAUGAAUUACAAAAUUUUUAAAAGAGUACAAAAAGUCCAGGAGCCACAGAUGCAGUAAGAAUAAUUAGAAAUGACGCUGAAGAACUGAAGGUUGCUGUGGGCAGGCAGACGCUGGGGCUAUUACAGAGAAGAGCAAAGGGGCGACUCAGACACCCUUCUGUUGUCGUAGGCUGUAAUAAAUAGUGUUCAGAUGGGGUUUUUUAUCCGUUUUACACAUCUCAAAAUACAACACCCUUGUUUAAAAUUUAAGGUUAAACAUCAAUGUCCUAAAAAUAUCUUUGCGAGGGACUAAAACAGAGAUUCAGUGCCUCUUUUUACGGGACAGAGAAAGAACUUUGCAUUCUUGGGGUAUGACUUUUUUUCCCUUGAUGGUCGAGGCAUUGAAAACCUUCACUGUCUAAACACUGAGAAACACCAAAGCAUAUUAUUAUAGACUCUCCUCAUGCAGCCGAUUACUGUAAAUGAACAUCAGCAUCUCAUAACAUGGUAGUGCAGAGAAUCCCAAAAAUGACAUUUUAUUUUUAAAAGUCUUUCAGAUAUUUGUUUAAUGUUCUGUGCAACAGACUUGCUUUAGGUUUUAGUUCUUGAACAAAAACAUGCCGAAAUUUUAUUUUUAAUGUAAUGUGUAAUAGAUUUUUUUUAACAGCUGGAACUGAAAAACAAAAUUAAUUCCAUAAAUAAUCCAAUUA